Non-coding RNA from Ornithorhynchus anatinus (platypus), 138 nucleotides. NCBI's taxonomy places the organism in Eukaryota, Metazoa, Chordata, Mammalia, Monotremata, Ornithorhynchidae. The record is from Rfam.
CUCCUCUCAGGAUUACACCUGGAGAGUUUGCAGUACUCUACUAGGCUUGGCUACAGGAGGGAGAGUCAAGCAGAAGCUAACACAUUCCAUUCCUAGCUUGGGAAGUGGCUAGCGAGUGGAAGACAAUCUCCUAUAAGU